RNAcentral lists this ribosomal RNA (440 nucleotides) under uncultured bacterium. Its description in RNAcentral is "partial 16S ribosomal RNA". It matches the Rfam family "Bacterial small subunit ribosomal RNA", at positions 338 to 795 of the family's 1533-position model. The record is from RNAcentral.
CCUACGGGAGGCAGCAGUGGGGGAUAUUGCACAAUGGGGGGAACCCUGAUGCAGCGACGCCGCGUGGGUGAAGAAGCGCCUCGGCGCGUAAAGCCCCGUCAGUAGGGAAGAAAAUGACGGUACCUGAAGACGAAGCCCCGGCUAAUUACGUGCCAGCAGCCGCGGUAACACGUAGGGGGCAAGCGUUAUCCGGAUUUACUGGGUGUAAAGGGGGCGCAGAUGGCGAUGCAGGCCAGGAGUGAAAGCUCGGGGCCCAACCCCGGGACUGCUCUUGGAACUGGGUGGCUGGAGUGCAGGAGGGGCAGGCGGAAUUCGUGGUGUAGCGGUGAAAUGCGUAGAUAUCAGGAGGAACACCGGUGGCGAAGGCGGCCUGCUGGACUGCAACUGACGUUGAGGCCCGAAAGCGUGGGGAGCAAACAGGAUUAGAUACCCUAGUAGUC